GGGACACGUGGUAUCCUGUCUGAAUAUGGGGGGACCAUCCUCCAAGGCUAAAUACUCCUGACUGACCGAUAGUGAACCAGUACCGUGAGGGAAAGGCGAAAAGAACCCCGGCGAGGGGAGUGAAAAAGAACCUGAAACCGUGUACGUACAAGCAGUGGGAGCACGCUUAGGCGUGUGACUGCGUACCUUUUGUAUAAUGGGUCAGCGACUUAUAUUCUGUAGCAAGGUUAACCGAAUAGGGGAGCCGAAGGGAAACCGAGUCUUAACUGGGCGUUAAGUUGCAGGGUAUAGACCCGAAACCCGGUGAUCUAGCCAUGGGCAGGUUGAAGGUUGGGUAACACUAACUGGAGGACCGAACCGACUAAUGUUGAAAAAUUAGCGGAUGACUUGUGGCUGGGGGUGAAAGGCCAAUCAAACCGGGAGAUAGCUGGUUCUCCCCGAAAGCUAUUUAGGUAGCGCCUCGUGAAUUCAUCUCCGGGGGUAGAGCACUGUUUCGGCAAGGGGGUCAUCCCGACUUACCAACCCGAUGCAAACUGCGAAUACCGGAGAAUGUUAUCACGGGAGACACACGGCGGGUGCUAACGUCCGUCGUGAAGAGGGAAACAACCCAGACCGCCAGCUAAGGUCCCAAAGUCAUGGUUAAGUGGGAAACGAUGUGGGAAGGCCCAGACAGCCAGGAUGUUGGCUUAGAAGCAGCCAUCAUUUAAAGAAAGCGUAAUAGCUCACUGGUCGAGUCGGCCUGCGCGGAAGAUGUAACGGGGCUAAACCAUGCACCGAAGCUGCGGCAGCGACGCUUAUGCGUUGUUGGGUAGGGGAGCGUUCUGUAAGCCUGCGAAGGUGUGCUGUGAGGCAUGCUGGAGGUAUCAGAAGUGCGAAUGCUGACAUAAGUAACGAUAAAGCGGGUGAAAAGCCCGCUCGCCGGAAGACCAAGGGUUCCUGUCCAACGUUAAUCGGGGCAGGGUGAGUCGACCCCUAAGGCGAGGCCGAAAGGCGUAGUCGAUGGGAAACAGGUUAAUAUUCCUGUACUUGGUGUUACUGCGAAGGGGGGACGGAGAAGGCUAUGUUGGCCGGGCGACGGUUGUCCCGGUUUAAGCGUGUAGGCUGGUUUUCCAGGCAAAUCCGGAAAAUCAAGGCUGAGGCGUGAUGACGAGGCACUACGGUGCUGAAGCAACAAAUGCCCUGCUUCCAGGAAAAGCCUCUAAGCAUCAGGUAACAUCAAAUCGUACCCCAAACCGACACAGGUGGUCAGGUAGAGAAUACCAAGGCGCUUGAGAGAACUCGGGUGAAGGAACUAGGCAAAAUGGUGCCGUAACUUCGGGAGAAGGCACGCUGAUAUGUAGGUGAAGUCCCUCGCGGAUGGAGCUGAAAUCAGUCGAAGAUACCAGCUGGCUGCAACUGUUUAUUAAAAACACAGCACUGUGCAAACACGAAAGUGGACGUAUACGGUGUGACGCCUGCCCGGUGCCGGAAGGUUAAUUGAUGGGGUUAGCGCAAGCGAAGCUCUUGAUCGAAGCCCCGGUAAACGGCGGCCGUAACUAUAACGGUCCUAAGGUAGCGAAAUUCCUUGUCGGGUAAGUUCCGACCUGCACGAAUGGCGUAAUGAUGGCCAGGCUGUCUCCACCCGAGACUCAGUGAAAUUGAACUCGCUGUGAAGAUGCAGUGUACCCGCGGCAAGACGGAAAGACCCCGUGAACCUUUACUAUAGCUUGACACUGAACAUUGAGCCUUGAUGUGUAGGAUAGGUGGGAGGCUUUGAAGUGUGGACGCCAGUCUGCAUGGAGCCGACCUUGAAAUACCACCCUUUAAUGUUUGAUGUUCUAACGUGGACCCGUAAUCCGGGUUGCGGACAGUGUCUGGUGGGUAGUUUGACUGGGGCGGUCUCCUCCUAAAGAGUAACGGAGGAGCACGAAGGUUGGCUAAUCCUGGUCGGACAUCAGGAGGUUAGUGCAAUGGCAUAAGCCAGCUUGACUGCGAGCGUGACGGCGCGAGCAGGUGCGAAAGCAGGUCAUAGUGAUCCGGUGGUUCUGAAUGGAAGGGCCAUCGCUCAACGGAUAAAAGGUACUCCGGGGAUAACAGGCUGAUACCGCCCAAGAGUUCAUAUCGACGGCGGUGUUUGGCACCUCGAUGUCGGCUCAUCACAUCCUGGGGCUGAAGUAGGUCCCAAGGGUAUGGCUGUUCGCCAUUUAAAGUGGUACGCGAGCUGGGUUUAGAACGUCGUGAGACAGUUCGGUCCCUAUCUGCCGUGGGCGCUGGAGAACUGAGGGGGGCUGCUCCUAGUACGAGAGGACCGGAGUGGACGCAUCACUGGUGUUCGGGUUGUCAUGCCAAUGGCACUGCCCGGUAGCUAAAUGCGGAAGAGAUAAGUGCUGAA
RNAcentral lists this ribosomal RNA (2371 nucleotides) under Escherichia coli. RNAcentral describes it as "partial 23S ribosomal RNA". It matches the Rfam family "Bacterial large subunit ribosomal RNA", at positions 419 to 2775 of the family's 2925-position model. The record is from RNAcentral. Lineage: Bacteria; Pseudomonadati; Pseudomonadota; Gammaproteobacteria; Enterobacterales; Enterobacteriaceae.